Molecule: transfer RNA, 25 nt
Filed under: Mertensia fendleri var. pubens
Lineage: Eukaryota; Viridiplantae; Streptophyta; Magnoliopsida; Boraginales; Boraginaceae
Description: partial tRNA-Leu
Source: RNAcentral
GCCGCUAUGGUGAAAUUGGUAGACC